GACGAACGCUGGCGGCGUGCCUAAUACAUGCAAGUUGAGCGCUGAAGGUUGGUGCUUGUACCAACUGGAUGAGCAGCGCACGGGUGAGUAACGCGUGGGGAAUCUGCCUUUGAGCGGGGGACAACAUUUGGAGACGAAUGCUAAUACCGCAUAAAAACUUUAAACACAAGUUUUAAGUUUGAAAGAUGCAAUUGCAUCACUCAAAGAUGAUCCCGCGUUGUAUUAGCUAGUUGGUGAGGUAAAGGCUCACCAAGGCGAUGAUACAUAGCCGACCUGAGAGGGUGAUCGGCCACAUUGGGACUGAGACACGGCCCAAACUCCUACGGGAGGCAGCAGUAGGGAAUCUUCGGCAAUGGACGAAAGUCUGACCGAGCAACGCCGCGUGAGUGAAGAAGGUUUUCGGAUCGUAAAACUCUGUUGGUAGAGAAGAACGUUGGUGAGAGUGGAAAGCUCAUCAAGUGACGGUAACUACCCAGAAAGGGACGGCUAACUACGUG
This 497-nucleotide ribosomal RNA is filed under the name uncultured bacterium. Its description in RNAcentral is "partial 16S ribosomal RNA". It matches the Rfam family "Bacterial small subunit ribosomal RNA", at positions 28 to 507 of the family's 1533-position model. The record is from RNAcentral.